GACGGGAGCUUGCUCCCUUAGGUCAGCGGCGGACGGGUGAGUAACACGUGGGUAACCUGCCUGUAAGACUGGGAUAACUCCGGGAAACCGGGGCUAAUACCGGAUGCUUGAUUGAGCCGCAUGGUUCAAUUAUAAAAGGUGGCUUUCAGCUACCACUUACAGAUGGACCCGCGGCGCAUUAGCUAGUUGGUGAGGUAACGGCUCACCAAGGCGACGAUGCGUAGCCGACCUGAGAGGGUGAUCGGCCACACUGGGACUGAGACACGGCCCAGACUCCUACGGGAGGCAGCAGUAGGGAAUCUUCCGCAAUGGACGAAAGUCUGACGGAGCAACGCCGCGUGAGUGAUGAAGGUUUUCGGAUCGUAAAACUCUGUUGUUAGGGAAGAACAAGUACCGUUCGAAUAGGGCGGCACCUCGACGGUACCUAACCAGAAAGCCACGGCUAACUACGUGCCAGCAGCCGCGGUAAUACGUAGGUGGCAAGCGUUGUCCGGAAUUAUUGGGCGUAAAGCGCGCGCAGGCGGUUUCUUAAGUCUGAUGUGAAAGC
This 547-nucleotide ribosomal RNA is filed under the name uncultured Bacilli bacterium. RNAcentral describes it as "bacterial SSU rRNA". It matches the Rfam family "Bacterial small subunit ribosomal RNA", at positions 71 to 601 of the family's 1533-position model. Lineage: Bacteria; Bacillati; Bacillota; Bacilli. The record is from RNAcentral.